This 483-nucleotide ribosomal RNA is filed under the name uncultured bacterium. Its description in RNAcentral is "partial 16S ribosomal RNA". It matches the Rfam family "Bacterial small subunit ribosomal RNA", at positions 28 to 507 of the family's 1533-position model. The record is from RNAcentral.
GAUUAACGCUAGCGGCAGGCAUAAUACAUGCAAGUUGAACGGCAGCACAGGUAGCAAUACUGGGUGGCGAGUGGCGCACGGGUGCGUAACACGUAUGCAACCUACCCUAUACAGGCGAAUAACCUUUAGAAAUGAGGGCUAAUACGCCGUAGUAUUACAGAUGGGCAUCUAUUUGUAAUUAAAGAUUUAUCGGUAUAGGAUGGGCAUGCGUCCCAUUAGUUAGUUGGUAAGGUAACGGCUUACCAAGACGAUGAUGGGUAGGGGAUCUGAGAGGACUUACCCCCACCCGGGAACUGGGACACGACCCGGACUCCUACGGAGGCAGCAAGUAGGGAUAAUUGGCCAAGGGCCGGAGGGCUAACCAGCCAUGCCGCGUGCAGGAAGACGGCCUUAUGGGUUGUAAACUGCUUUUAUACGGGAAUAAUAGAGUGUACGCGUACAUUUAUGCAAGUAUCGUAUGAAUAAGCAUCGGCUAACUCCGUG